AAGUUUUUGUUUUCAAGGCAUGGAAACUGUGGACGGAAGAGAGGGCAUUGGAGCUUCUUGACAAUAUGUCAGAUCGCCCGUAUUCUGUAUCUGAAGUAUUGAGAUGCAUUCAUGUGGGUCUGCUAUGCGUGCAACAAAAGCCGGAAGACAGACCAAAUAUGUCAUCUGUGGUUUUGAUGUUGGGCAGUGAGAAUUCAUUGCCUGACCCAAAGCAACCUGGUUUUUUCACGGAAAGGAAUAUGCCCGCAGUGGACUCUUCAUCAGGAAAUCAUGAAUCAUCGUCUAUAAAUGACCUAACUAUUUCAGAGCUAGAUGCACGGUAGAAGAUUGGCUCUGAUGGUUAAAAGGAAGAGCUAUAUAUAUAUAUAUAUAUGUAUGUAUAUUCUAGCCAAAUCCAAGGCAUAUAACAGAAAUUAAAUAUUUUCUGCUAUAAUUAUGUUGAUGUAUUAUUUUUACCUGUCUACAAGUCCUCUGCAAGUACUAGUGCGAAUACAGAUAGACAGAAUGCUUGAGGAUUCACAUCUCUGGACUGCACAAUAUCUGUACUUGUUUGCUUCGAGCCGUCGAAUUUAAUGCACGGAUCUGGGUUCAAGAUCUAUAUAUGCUAGAGCCUCACUGGCUUCUAACCCAAAAAGAAUCCAUUAGAAUUGUCAAUAUAUAAUUAGUAAAAAAAAAUUACAUACAAUUUAAACAAUCCAAAUUUAUAAUUCAAAUUUACAUUAUAUUUUUCAUAACAUGUUAAAAAAAUAUAUUUUUAACAACCAUACAAGGAGCUAUAGUCUUUCCUUGAUUGAUUUCAUAGCACCUUAAACUUAGCCUUGACCUAACCCUUUUAGGGAUAAAUAUUAUAGGUACGAGUACCUUGAUGAUACUUAGCCUUUGUAGGGGAAUCCGACCGGUGAUGUUUUGAUAUUUGCUCAUAGUAGGCUAAGCACACUAACACAAUAUUUAACGUGGUUCAACAAACCGCCUACAUCCACGGGAGAAACCAUUUGAUUAUAUAGGGAGAGAACAAGAUUUACAACAGUAGAGGAGGAGGAAUCAUCCCCUCUUUGGCAACUCUCAACCUCACUCUAUUUGAUGUUGGGCAGUGAGAAUUCAUUGCCUGACCCAAAGCAACCUGGUUUUUUCACGGAAAGGAAUAUGCCCGCAGUGGACUCUUCAUCAGGAAAUCAUGAAUCAUCGUCUAUAAAUGACCUAACUAUUUCAGAGCUAGAUGCACGGUAGAAGAUUGGCUCUGAUGGUUAAAAGGAAGAGCUAUAUAUAUAUAUAUAUGUAUGUAUAUUCUAGCCAAAUCCAAGGCAUAUAACAGAAAUUAUAUAUUUUCUGCUAUAAUUAUGUUGAUGUAUUAUUUUUACCUGUCUACAAGUCCUCUGCAAGUACUGGUGCGAAUACAGAUACACAGAAUAAUGCUUGAGGAUUCACAUCUCUGGACUGCACAAUAUCUGUACUUGUUUGCUUCGAGCCAACGAAUUUAAUGCACGGAUCUGGGUUCAAGAUCUAUAUAUGCUAGAGGCUCACUGGCUUCUAACCAAAAAGAAUCCAUUAGAACUUUGGAUAGAUUUAUGUAUUUCCUACAAUUCAGUAAUUGUUUUAUAUUGAAAAAUUUUAUUCUGAGUCUAUUUAUUUUUUUAUGUUAUUAAUUUAUUGAUUUAUAUUAUCU
This 1663-nucleotide long non-coding RNA is filed under the name Populus tremula. Its description in RNAcentral is "long non-coding RNA (PTRE_LNC000316)". The record is from RNAcentral. Lineage: Eukaryota; Viridiplantae; Streptophyta; Magnoliopsida; Malpighiales; Salicaceae.